RNAcentral lists this ribosomal RNA (253 nucleotides) under uncultured bacterium. Its description in RNAcentral is "partial 16S ribosomal RNA". It matches the Rfam family "Bacterial small subunit ribosomal RNA", at positions 524 to 776 of the family's 1533-position model. The record is from RNAcentral.
UACAGAGGGUGCGAGCGUUAAUCGGAAUUACUGGGCGUAAAGCGCACGUAGGCGGCUUGGUAUGUCGGGUGUGAAAUCCCCGGGCUCAACCUGGGAACUGCAUCCGAAACUGCCUUGCUCGAGUACGGGAGAGGGAAGUGGAAUUUCCGGUGUAGCGGUGAAAUGCGUAGAUAUCCGGAGGAACACCGGUGGCGAAGGCGGCUUCCUGGACCGACACUGACGCUGAGGCGCGAAAGCUAGGGGAGCAAACGGG